RNAcentral lists this ribosomal RNA (497 nucleotides) under uncultured bacterium. RNAcentral's name for it is "partial 16S ribosomal RNA". It matches the Rfam family "Bacterial small subunit ribosomal RNA", at positions 28 to 507 of the family's 1533-position model. The record is from RNAcentral.
GAUGAACGCUGGCGGCGUGCCUAAUACAUGAAAGUCGAGCGAACAGACGAGGAGCUUGCUCCUCUGACUUUAGCGGCGGACGGGUGAGUAACCCGUGGAUAACCUCCCUUUAAGACUGGGAUAACUUCGGGAAACCGGAGCUAAUACCGGAUAAUAUUUUAAACCGCAUGGUUCAAUAGGAAAAGACGGUUUUGCUGUCACUUAUAGAUGGAUCCGCGCCGCAUUAGCUAGUUGGUAAGGUAACGGCUUACCAAGGCGACGAUGCGUAGCCGACCUGAGAGGGUGAUCGGCCACACUGGAACUGAGACACGGUCCAGACUCCUACGGGAGGCAGCAGUAGGGAAUCUUCCGCAAUGGGCGAAAGCCUGACGGAGCAACGCCGCGUGAGUGAUGAAGGUCUUCGGAUCGUAAAACCCUGUUAUUAGGGAAGAACAAAUGUGUAAGUAACUAUGCACGUCUUGACGGUACCUAAUCAGAAAGCCACGGCUAACUACGUG